UACGUAGGGUGCGAGCGUUGCCCGGAUUUAUUGGGCGUAAAGGGCGCGUAGGCGGCCACGCACGUCCGUUGUGAAAUCGCCCGGCUCAACUGGGCGGGGUCAGCGGAUACGGUGUGGCUAGAGCAAGCUAGGGGGCAAUGGAAUUCCCGGUGUAGUGGUGGAAUGCGUAGAUAUCGGGAGGAACACCAGUGGCGAAGGCGGUUACCUGGAGCUUUGCUGACGCUGAUGCGCGAAAGCGUGGGGAGCAAACAGG
Molecule: ribosomal RNA, 253 nt
Filed under: uncultured bacterium
Lineage: Bacteria
Description: partial 16S ribosomal RNA
Rfam family: Bacterial small subunit ribosomal RNA
Source: RNAcentral